Molecule: ribosomal RNA, 446 nt
Filed under: uncultured bacterium
Lineage: Bacteria
Description: bacterial SSU rRNA
Rfam family: Bacterial small subunit ribosomal RNA
Source: RNAcentral
UGGGGAAUAUUGGACAAUGGGCGCAAGCCUGAUCCAGCCAUGCCGCGUGCAGGAUGACGGUCCUAUGGAUUGUAAACUGCUUUUGUACAGGAAGAAACAGUUCUACGUGUAGAACCUUGACGGUACUGUAAGAAUAAGGAUCGGCUAACUCCGUGCCAGCAGCCGCGGUAAUACGGAGGAUCCAAGCGUUAUCCGGAAUCAUUGGGUUUAAAGGUCCGUAGGCGGUUAGAUAAGUCAGUGGUGAAAGCCCAUCGCUCAACGGUGGAACGGCCAUUGAUACUGUCUGACUUGAAUUAUUAGGAAGUAACUAGAAUAUGUAGUGUAGCGGUGAAAUGCUUAGAGAUUACAUGGAAUACCAAUUGCGAAGGCAGGUUACUACUAAUGGAUUGACGCUGAUGGACGAAAGCGUGGGUAGCAAACAGGAUUAGAUACCCCAGUAGUCCCUG